This 293-nucleotide ribosomal RNA is filed under the name Diversispora spurca. RNAcentral's name for it is "partial small subunit ribosomal RNA". It matches the Rfam family "Eukaryotic small subunit ribosomal RNA", at positions 569 to 864 of the family's 1831-position model. The record is from RNAcentral. Lineage: Eukaryota; Fungi; Glomeromycota; Glomeromycetes; Diversisporales; Diversisporaceae.
AGCAGCCGCGGUAAUUCCAGCUCCAAUAGCGUAUAUUAAAGUUGUUGUGGUUAAAAAGCUCGUAGUUGAACUUCGGGGUUCACCCAUUGGUCAGGCUUAAUUGUCUGUACUGGUGAGAUGAAUCUCUACCUUCUGGGGAACUUUCAUGCCAUUUAUUUGGUGUGAUGGGAAAUCUGGACUGUUACUUUGAAAAAAUUAGAGUGUUUAAAGCAGGCUCACGUCUGAAUACAUUAGCAUGGAAUAAUGAAAUAGGGCGGAUUGAUUCUAUUUCGUUGGUUUCUAGGAUCGAUGUA